Molecule: transfer RNA, 87 nt
Filed under: Wolfiporia cocos MD-104 SS10
Lineage: Eukaryota; Fungi; Basidiomycota; Agaricomycetes; Polyporales; Phaeolaceae
Description: Wolfiporia cocos (strain MD-104) (brown rot fungus) tRNA
Rfam family: tRNA
About the family: Transfer RNA (tRNA) molecules are approximately 80 nucleotides in length. Their secondary structure includes four short double-helical elements and three loops (D, anti-codon, and T loops).
Source: Rfam by way of RNAcentral
GGCUUUGUAGUGUAGCGGUUAUCACUUGAGAUUCUGACGCACUGGCGUUACCUUCUCAAAACCCAGGUUCGAUUCCUGGCAAGGCCU